GUGAAAUUGUUGAAAGGGAAACGAUUGAAGUCAGUCAUGCCGACGGGAAUCAACUUAGGGGAAACUCUGAGUGCACUUCACGUUUGGCAGGUCAGCGUCGAUUUUGGAUGUCAUAAAAUGAUUGGGGGAAGGUAGCUCCUUCGGGAGUGUUAUAGCCCUUGGUAGAUGUGAUGUCCGGGAUCGAGGAUUGCAACGGAUACCCUUUGGGCUAGCCGCCUGAUCUCUAAUUGGUGUUGGGUUACGGACAGCAUGCUGACCGUGAUCUAAUUAUUGGUUAAAAGGUUAGAGUGCACAUAAAUUCGUUAAGGACACUGACGUAAUGGCUUUAAACGAC
This 334-nucleotide ribosomal RNA is filed under the name uncultured Gigaspora. RNAcentral's name for it is "partial 28S ribosomal RNA". Lineage: Eukaryota; Fungi; Glomeromycota; Glomeromycetes; Diversisporales; Gigasporaceae. The record is from RNAcentral.